Molecule: ribosomal RNA, 448 nt
Filed under: uncultured bacterium
Lineage: Bacteria
Description: bacterial SSU rRNA
Rfam family: Bacterial small subunit ribosomal RNA
Source: RNAcentral
UCCCAGACUCCUACGGGAGGCAGCAGGGGGGAAUAUUGGGCAAUGGGCGCAAGCCUGACCCAGCAACGCCGCGUGAAGGAAGAAGGCUUUCGGGUUGUAAACUUCUUUUAAGAGGGAAGAGCAGAAGACGGUACCUCUUGAAUAAGCCACGGCUAACUACGUGCCAGCAGCCGCGGUAAUACGUAGGUGGCAAGCGUUGUCCGGAUUUACUGGGUGUAAAGGGCGUGCAGCCGGGAAGACAAGUCAGAUGUGAAAUCCCGCGGCUCAACCGCGGAACUGCAUUUGAAACUGUUUUUCUUGAGUACCGGAGAGGUCAUCGGAAUUCCUUGUGUAGCGGUGAAAUGCGUAGAUAUAAGGAAGAACACCAGUGGCGAAGGCGACUUUCUGGACUGUACCUGACGCUGAGGCGCGAAAGCGUGGGUAGCGAACGGGAUUAGAUACCCUGGUA